CGAGUCGGUCAGGCGGCCGCGGCGUACGCCCUCGGGCACGCGUCGAGGAAAGUCCGGACUCCUCAGAGCACGGUGGUGGGUAACGCCCACCCGGGGUGACCCGCGGGACAGUGCCACAGAAAGCAGACCGCCCGUCGGCCUCGGCCGGCGGGUAAGGGUGAAACGGUGGUGCAAGAGACCACCAGCACCCCUGGUGACAGGGGUGGCUCGGCAAACCCCACCGGGAGCAAGACCAAGAAGGCGCCCUCCUGCGAAGGAGGACGCCGCGGGAGCGUUCGAGGGCUGCUCGCCCGAGCUCCCGGGUAGGUCGCACCAGGCCGCUGGCAACAGCGGUCGCAGAUGGAUGGCCGCCCCCUCCGCCUCGGCGGAGGGACAGAAUCCGGCUUACCGACCGGCUCGUCCC
This is a non-coding RNA of 403 nucleotides. It matches the Rfam family "Bacterial RNase P class A". Rfam says of the family: Ribonuclease P (RNase P) is a ubiquitous endoribonuclease, found in archaea, bacteria and eukarya as well as chloroplasts and mitochondria. The record is from Rfam.